Non-coding RNA from Agrilus planipennis (emerald ash borer), 178 nucleotides. NCBI's taxonomy places the organism in Eukaryota, Metazoa, Arthropoda, Insecta, Coleoptera, Buprestidae. The record is from Rfam.
GCUUAAUGUAGUGUUUGUACUGAACAUUCGGCUGAAGAGGACCUUAAUUGGUCCUAGAACGGCCUGAGGUAGAGGGGUUUUAGUCGGUAGGUCCGAGGACUUCUUCCUCGGGAAUCCGACACUACCCAGUCGUACGGACGGCUGGGUGUCUUUUGAAGAUUUCCCCUCUUCCACGAAA